This 1158-nucleotide long non-coding RNA is filed under the name Brassica napus (rape). RNAcentral describes it as "long non-coding RNA (BNAP_LNC023224)". Lineage: Eukaryota; Viridiplantae; Streptophyta; Magnoliopsida; Brassicales; Brassicaceae. The record is from RNAcentral.
AUAGCUUCACGGCCUUCACCCGUUAUUUAUCUCGAGAUAUUGUGUAUGUAAAAUAAAACUUUUAAAUGGCACAAACGAUUUUAUGAACUGAAGUUCUAAUAAUAGAGGGUGGACAAACGAAAAUAAAAGAAGAGAUGACUUAACAGUCAACACAAAUUAUAUGAAAACGAAAAUUCAAGUUCUAAAAUAUAGUUGUCUCAUCUUAACUCUUGUCCUGGAUGUUGAAUACGAGUUUGGAUGAUCGACUGAAAGUAAAAUGAACUCGUUUUUGUGGGUCUUACAAAGACGUUCUAUUGAUCGGUAUGUGAUAACAAGCGUGAUUACAAGGAGAUUAUGGAAAAGAAAGAAGGUCGGAGCUUUGCUAAAAGCACCGGCGAGGAUACAAAGAGGCUCGAUCGGUUGUCUAACCCUAAAUCGUGUCGUCAGUGUUUUAGUCUCUCUCUUCGGAUCCCUUUUCUCUUCCCAUAUGUCUUCCUUUUAUAGGCUCUACUUGUCUAACACUCGUUCGCCCUAAUAAUUCAGGCCCAAACUAAUGUUUGAUGGGCUUUCCAGUUGGUCGAUGGCUUGAUGGGCUUUUCAGCCAAGCUAUGGCUCGAUGGGCUGAUACUGACCCAGUCGGCCAAUUGACUGUAGGACCGGGUCGAUCAAUUGAGCUCUAGAACCAAAUGAUAGUCCUACCAAGUUCGAUCCCAGCUAGACUCUCGGUGACAAUGAUCUGAAUCCUGUUAACUGAUGGGUCUUGUGGGAGAAUGCUAAAUUCAUCUCCAACACUGGAGUCGUGCCGAGGCUGGUUAGGCGGAGAUGCUGGAAGGUGUCGGCUUUUAAGGCUUUGUGGUUGGAUUGAUUUUGCUUCGCAUGUGAUUUUACCUUGAUAGCAACAAAGGGCAAGGAAUGAUGCUCUUCCCAGAUCUGGUGUUGUGUCGUAUGGAUUAUAUUGUCUGCUCCUUUGCUUGUCGGUGGCAGUUUAGAUCCACGGGUUCUCCUCUGAGAAGAGAGGCAGAGGUUAGUAGACCCAGCCCGUCUAUGGGGUGCCUCAGAACGGAGGUCUUCUCAAGCUUCGUCAGUGAAAGGUACAACGAGUUUCAGAAACUUGAUGUCGUAUUUGAUGGCUUCUUCGUUAGAGGCUCCUCGCCCUUCCUUUCAUGUUCUUCUCUUUGU